AUUGAACGCUGGCGGCAGGCCUAACACAUGCAAGUCGAAUGGUAACAGGAAACAGCUUGCUGUUUCGCUGACGAGUGGCGGACGGGUGAGUAAUGUCUGGGAAACUGCCUGAUGGAGGGGGAUAACUACUGGAAACGGUAGCUAAUACCGCAUAACGUCGCAAGACCAAAGAGGGGGACCUUCGGGCCUCUUGCCAUCAGAUGUGCCCAGAUGGGAUUAGCUAGUAGGUGGGGUAACGGCUCACCUAGGCGACGAUCCCUAGCUGGUCUGAGAGGAUGACCCAGCCAACCGGGAGUGAAAACACGUGCAGGCCCCCAGCGGGAGGCGGCGGGGGGAAAUAUAGAAAAAGGGGGGCAAGCUUGAUGAAUCCGUGCGGCGGGAAGGAAGAAGGCUUUCGGGUUGUAAAGUACUUUCGGCGGGGAGAAAGGAAGAAAAGUAAACACCUUCGCUAUUUGACUUUCCCCGAAGAAGAAGCCCCGCCUAACUCCGUG
Molecule: ribosomal RNA, 491 nt
Filed under: uncultured bacterium
Lineage: Bacteria
Description: partial 16S ribosomal RNA
Rfam family: Bacterial small subunit ribosomal RNA
Source: RNAcentral